CCAAAUGAUGCUGAAUGCCUCUCUUCCUGGGAUGGGCUUUAAUUACCACUGAAUAUGCUUUAAUUGCCACUGUGUCAGAGCAAAGAUUCAUUCAUUCUGGCCCGGUGAACUCAUGUCGAGAUGGGUCAAAUACUACCUCCUCCAUGAAGCCUUCCAGCUUCCUUCCUUGGUCAGCUGUUGUCUUUAUAGACCCAACCAUUUGGGAUGGCUCCCUUUCAAUUUCCUCUUAGGACAUAAAAACCUGGAACCCUUCUGGAUCUGGAGGCGCCCACAGGACCUCCCACAAACUUGUCAGUGCCUUGAAUUUCUUCGUCCAGUUUCACCUCCCUUGCCAUUGAGUGUGCUGUGCUGGAAUAACGCCCUCACCUUCCACUUGAGACCAUUCUGUACAUUUGGGUCUCCACCAUUCCAAAGAGCCAAGGGUCAUCCUGGUUCCUAAGAGCUGACUGUUUAAUUUUCACAGAUUUUUCAAGCUGACAACUGGAAAUUGGCCAUGGUGAGAGAAUAUUACUAUUACAAAAGAGGCUCUGGUGUUUCAGACUGGUUUGCUGAACAUUUUCCAUCACACUGUGGCUUUGCCCCUUAACCUUUUGCAGUUCCCCCAUGCCCUUCUGUGCUGCCUCUUACCUCAGAACUCCAUUUCUGAAGAGCAGACAGUAUAAAUCUACCCUCUCUACCCUGUGCACUUCUCACCCCACUCCAGUCCAGGCUCUGUCCUCAGACUCCCUAAGCUGCUCUUAUCUUGACACCUCCUGAUGGCACAUUGGAAUAACAUUUUUUCUUUUUUCUUUUUUGGUCUUAUUGAGACAGGGUCUCCCUGUAGCCCCAGAAUAUAUAUGUAAACACACACACACACACACACACACACA
This is a long non-coding RNA of Nannospalax galili (Upper Galilee mountains blind mole rat), 869 nucleotides long. RefSeq lists it as uncharacterized. The transcript is spliced from 3 exons. NCBI's taxonomy places the organism in Eukaryota, Metazoa, Chordata, Mammalia, Rodentia, Spalacidae. The record is from RefSeq and is a predicted model, not a curated record.